UAAGAGAAGAAUUUUCAAUGCAUAGACAAUUAUUUCUAAAAAGGUACCCUUCUAACAACAUGAUUUGCUGGUUAGGACAACAAGAUCGAUCCUCUAGAGCUUUCUUCACACACUUUUCCAAACUAAAGAUCAUCUCUGUACAGUUUUUUUCACAACUUCAAGCUCAAUACCUUCACUUGCAUGGAAGUGAGCGAAGACCGCCUUCUACUUAAAGCAUCAGCUACUUGAUUUAGGAUGCCAGGGGCCUGGCGCCUGAUAACAAAAUCGAUGAAAUGUUC
RNAcentral lists this long non-coding RNA (278 nucleotides) under Populus tremula. Its description in RNAcentral is "long non-coding RNA (PTRE_LNC001363)". The record is from RNAcentral. Lineage: Eukaryota; Viridiplantae; Streptophyta; Magnoliopsida; Malpighiales; Salicaceae.